Molecule: RNA transcript, 1220 nt
Organism: Patiria miniata (bat star)
Lineage: Eukaryota; Metazoa; Echinodermata; Asteroidea; Valvatida; Asterinidae
Gene name: choline/ethanolaminephosphotransferase 1-like
Exons: 7
Source: RefSeq, a predicted model, not a curated record
GACCUGGCUUCUCACUGAAUAAAGAUCAAAUAGUAUGCAGAAGUCUGCUGACAGUUUUUAUUGCCCUCCACGCUGCUUUUUUUCCGCCACUGCAGGCUCCACGCUGGGCGUACGCACUGGCUGGCGUGAACAUCUUUCUCUUCCAAACCUGUGACUCCGUAGACGGGCGGCAGUGUUUGAGGCACAAGACAAAGCUGAAUUGGCAUCUGCAGCUUGCUGAACUAUUCGACCAUGCUUGCGACUCGAUCACCAAAGUGUGUGUCACCAUUGAGUUUGGUAUCUGCAUGAAGAUAGGCGGUCGGCCGGAUCUCUUUGUACCGUUUAUGCUGACGGCAAUGUUCAUGUUUUUUCACGGCACACUGGCAGACCUACAUCUCUGGAUUGGUGCGAUUUACCACGCAUUUGCGUUGGAGUGGAGGGAGCUGAUAAUAAUUGCAACAGCGAUGUCGAGCAUUUUAAAGUUUUUCAACCAAGCUGCCUUUGUUUGGGGACGGGGCCACCGUGUCACAAUUGCUGGCACUAGUUUGUUUGGACCAUCACUGCAUAUCGCCACAGCCUUUCUGCUUACAAUUGUCACCAAGGUCAUGACCAAUCUGUAUGAGCGUCAACCCUGUGUCUUCCUGAUCAUCUUUGGACUGAUUGAGGCCAAGAUGUCCAACCAGUUCAUGACUGCCUACAUGUACAAGUCCAAGGUGAAGCUUCUUGAUAGCACACUUCUCGGUCCGCUGAUUCUGUGUGUAAACAUCUACUGAAUGAACCUAUCCAGGGAUACGCUCUGCUCUGGAUAGUCAUGGUGUACUGCGCAGCGGAUUGGCUGUUGUACUUUAGACGUGUCAGUCUGGGGAUGUGCCGCCUGUUGCAAGUCACAUGCUUUGGAUCGUACAAAUUUGAAGAUUAAUAAAUCAAUUAGGUAUUACUGAACAGCAACAAACAAGUUGGAAGCAAAAAUGUUUGGAAGUGGCGGCGAGAGAGAUGCUCUUUAGGAGAGCAAACACUGUGGCAUUCUUAAACAGCAAGGCAACCCUUAUUUUAUUGGGUUUCAAAACUUUUUUCGAAUCUAUGUUGUUUUUCAUGUAACAGGUGAUGGGAUUAUAUUUUUGUAGUAUGGAUAAAAGCCUACUCGAAACAUCAAGAACCACAUGAUCGCACAUUGCCAAAAGUAUUAGUGCCAUUUAUUGAAUAAAACAAAGUUGCAGUAGUGUAUUUGCCACAUGGUCCAU